AAAUAGAACUUUGCAGAGAGAGUUAACAGGGCGUGAAACCGUUAAUUGGCAAACGAAUCGGAGCCACGAAGUCGUUUCGUUGAAGUUGGGGCCAAGUUCAGUCUAGGAGAGAUCUUGGGCGUAUUCUUGUGUCCAACCUUCUUUGUAAGCGUACACUGCAACUAGUUAGACAAUUGGAGAUGGGCCCAGUUGGUUAUCUCUGGUAGUAGUAGUGCGAUAGUCUUCGGGCUAUUGUGUUGCUGGCCAGGUGAUGAGUGAACUAUUUCCAAAUACUGACUAGAAAAAUGAAAAUCGCCCACUUGUGGCGUUAUACAGAAUGCAGUUGUCUACAUUAGUGUCUACAUGCUUGACCAUGUGCUUUUAAGUUCGGUAGUUUUGAAUUUGGACUUGCUAGCUACCAGUGGGGCAACUCCUGGUGCUAGUAUAGCUUUCAUCUAAUCGGCUACUGACUUGAGUAUGUGUUGUUUGGGUAUGCUACGAUAGGAUGUUAAUGUAAGAUGGCGCGCAAUCGAUUGGCAGUGAGUAGGUCGGCUUUCCGAACGACCCGUCUUGAAACACGGACCAAGGAGUCUAAUUAGGCAUCAAGUCGAUCGGUCUUGAAUAGGCCAGACUGGGUAUGUCUACCCGAUUGAAGGCGUAGAGACAAUCGUGUGAUCAUUGGAACAAAACAGUUCUUAUGCGCAACACGUGCCUGCUCGUAUAGCAAUGGGUUGCUGGGCGGAGCAAAGAGAUGCCUGAUUGGUACCCGAAAGAUGGUGAUGCUUGGGCAAAUUGAAGCCAGAGGAAACUCUGGUGGAGGAUUGUAGCGAUUCUGACGUGCAAAUCGAUCGUCAGACCUGAGUAUAGGGGCGAAAGACUAAUCGAACCAUC
RNAcentral lists this ribosomal RNA (870 nucleotides) under Dipentamerus litseae. RNAcentral describes it as "partial large subunit ribosomal RNA". It matches the Rfam family "Eukaryotic large subunit ribosomal RNA", at positions 366 to 944 of the family's 3401-position model. Lineage: Eukaryota; Metazoa; Arthropoda; Arachnida; Trombidiformes; Eriophyidae. The record is from RNAcentral.